Molecule: ribosomal RNA, 545 nt
Filed under: Acinetobacter sp. BN27
Lineage: Bacteria; Pseudomonadati; Pseudomonadota; Gammaproteobacteria; Moraxellales; Moraxellaceae
Description: bacterial SSU rRNA
Rfam family: Bacterial small subunit ribosomal RNA
Source: RNAcentral
CAGCAGUGGGGAAUAUUGGACAAUGGGGGGAACCCUGAUCCAGCCAUGCCGCGUGUGUGAAGAAGGCCUUAUGGUUGUAAAGCACUUUAAGCGAGGAGGAGGCUCUUUUGGUUAAUACCCAAGAUGAGUGGACGUUACUCGCAGAAUAAGCACCGGCUAACUCUGUGCCAGCAGCCGCGGUAAUACAGAGGGUGCGAGCGUUAAUCGGAUUUACUGGGCGUAAAGCGUGCGUAGGCGGCUUUUUAAGUCGGAUGUGAAAUCCCCGAGCUUAACUUGGGAAUUGCAUUCGAUACUGGGAAGCUAGAGUAUGGGAGAGGAUGGUAGAAUUCCAGGUGUAGCGGUGAAAUGCGUAGAGAUCUGGAGGAAUACCGAUGGCGAAGGCAGCCAUCUGGCCUAAUACUGACGCUGAGGUACGAAAGCAUGGGGAGCAAACAGGAUUAGAUACCCUGGUAGUCCAUGCCGUAAACGAUGUCUACUAGCCGUUGGGGUCUUUGAGACUUUAGUGGCGCAGCUAACGCGAUAAGUAGACCGCCUUGGGAGACCCU